This 859-nucleotide ribosomal RNA is filed under the name marine metagenome. RNAcentral's name for it is "bacterial SSU rRNA". It matches the Rfam family "Bacterial small subunit ribosomal RNA", at positions 478 to 1339 of the family's 1533-position model. The record is from RNAcentral.
CCCGAAUAAGAAGGUCCGGCUAACUUCGUGCCAGCAGCCGCGGUAAUACGAAGGGACCUAGCGUAGUUCGGAAUUACUGGGCUUAAAGAGUUCGUAGGUGGUUGAAAAAGUUAGUGGUGAAAUCCCAGAGCUUAACUCUGGAACUGCCAUUAAAACUUUUCAGCUAGAGUAUGAUAGAGGAAAGCAGAAUUUCUAGUGUAGAGGUGAAAUUCGUAGAUAUUAGAAAGAAUACCAAUUGCGAAGGCAGCUUUCUGGAUCAUUACUGACACUGAGGAACGAAAGCAUGGGUAGCGAAGAGGAUUAGAUACCCUCGUAGUCCAUGCCGUAAACGAUGUGUGUUAGACGUUGGAAAUUUAUUUUCAGUGUCGCAGGGAAACCGAUAAACACACCGCCUGGGGAGUACGACCGCAAGGUUAAAACUCAAAUGAAUUGACGGGGACCCGCACAAGUAGUGGAGCAUGUGGUUUAAUUCGAAGAUACGCGCAGAACCUUACCAACACUUGACAUGUUCGUCGCGACUCUAAGAGAUUAGAGUUUUCGGUUCGGCCGGACGAAACACAGGUGCUGCAUGGCUGUCGUCAGCUCGUGUCGUGAGAUGUUGGGUUAAGUCCCGCAACGAGCGCAACCCUCACUUUUAGUUGCCAUCAUUAGGUUGGGCACUCUGAAAGAACUGCCAGUGAUAAGCUGGAGGAAGGUGGGGAUGACGUCAAGUCCUCAUGGCCCUUACGUGUUGGGCUACACACGUGCUACAAUGGUAUCUACAACAGGAAGCAAGACUGCGAAGUUAAGCAAAUCCCUAAAAGAUACCUCAGUUCGGAUUGCACUCUGCAACUCGAGUGCAUGAAGCUGGAAUACUAGU